RNAcentral lists this ribosomal RNA (555 nucleotides) under uncultured Bacteroides sp. RNAcentral's name for it is "bacterial SSU rRNA". It matches the Rfam family "Bacterial small subunit ribosomal RNA", at positions 8 to 551 of the family's 1533-position model. Lineage: Bacteria; Pseudomonadati; Bacteroidota; Bacteroidia; Bacteroidales; Bacteroidaceae. The record is from RNAcentral.
AGAGUUUGAUCCUGGCUCAGGAUGAACGCUAGCUACAGGCUUAACACAUGCAAGUCGAGGUGGCAGCAUGGUCUUAGCUUGCUAAGGCCGAUGGCGACCGGCGCACGGGUGAGUAACACGUAUCCAACCUGCCGUCUACUCUUGGACAGCCUUCUGAAAGGAAGAUUAAUACAAGAUGGCAUCAUGAGUCCACAUGUUCACAUGAUUAAAGGUAUUCCGGUAGACGAUGGGGAUGCGUUCCAUUAGAUAGUAGGCGGGGUAACGGCCCACCUAGUCUUCGAUGGAUAGGGGUUCUGAGAGGAAGGUCCCCCACAUUGGAACUGAGACACGGUCCAAACUCCUACGGGAGGCAGCAGUGAGGAAUAUUGGUCAAUGGACGAGAGCCUGAACCAGCCAAGUAGCGUGAAGGAUGACUGCCCUAUGGGUUGUAAACUUCUUUUAUAAAGGAAUAAAGUCGGGUAUGCAUACCCGUUUGCAUGUACUUUAUGAAUAAGGAUCGGCUAACUCCGUGCCAGCAGCCGCGGUAAUACGGAGGAUCCGAGCGUUAUCCGGAUU